CCCACCCUUCAAAUCAUCCUCGUCUGUCAGCUGCCGGAGCACCGGCGACCCGAUCUCUAUAUUGGUAAGACUCAAGCCUAAACAUUCCCCAAAUCUCGUUGCAAUUUCUCUCGUAAAUAUAUGUACAAUCUUAUACAUAUAUGUAUUUAGUUUGGCUUCUCUAACUGAAAAAAAAUCAACAAUUUUACGCAUUUAUGUGUGUUUUCUUUGUGUGUGCUGGUACUACAGACACUAUAUACACAAUUAAACAUAAUAUUUCAGCUAUUGAGUUAAUAACCCAUUUGAUUAUCAAGUCAAUAUUUUGUGAGAAUGUUUCAUUAAAAGGGACAAGGUUCAGUAUUAAUGUUAGGAGGUUCAAAUCUAUGAGGGGCAAAUUUCUAAAGCAAUAUGCUUUGAUUCUAUUUUUAUUGAACUUAUUAACUUGUGACGCUGGUAAUUUGUUUGUUUUUCAAUCGUCUUGAAGGGAAUUAACCUCCAUAAACCAAGUAGAGCUUCACCCUGAGUAGGGAUUAAAACUUGAUCAAGUGUGUAAGUGCUCAUGAUUAUCGGUGGAAGAGGUGUUUACUAGUUAUGUUUGGUGAAUAAUGCUUUAGUACAUAGAGCUUUACUGUCGUGAGGUUUCAAGAUGCAUGCAUGAUUAUUCGGUGAGUACUGAUUGAAGGCAUGCUAUUAUUGGUUUAAAAUUCUAGAGCACAUUAAACUCAGAUUGUUGGAUAGUUGGAGUUGUUAACUUGUUAUACUUGAAGUUAAUAUAGACCCAUCUUAUGCAAUGGUAUGGAAGAAGAAUACUCUUGUCUUGUUUAGAUCUAACAGAAGCCCCCUAGAUAUAAAAUAAUUUGGAACCUUCAUGAAGUAAACUCUGAAGAAGAAAUAAUAAUUUGUAAUUCUUGAACUCUACUGUGUGUUCAAACCACUUAUAGCUAACACUUAUUUAUGGUACACAUUUGAACCUGUUAAACUUCUGAUUCUUUGUUUAAUGCUUUCAUGCUCAUAUUAGAAGGUAGUGGUCUAAGUGGUGAUAUUGUAAAUUACUACUGUCUGUUGUUAUAUGCAUGUGACUUUGUCUUUGAUUUGUUGCAUUUUGGUGGAUGUGCAUAGAGUACAAACUGAAUUCUUUAAGAAUAAGGUACAACAAAUUGGGUCGGGAAAGUGAGCAGAUCCCAGAAAUUGUAAGAAUGCAAUUAAUCUGUAUGAAAAUGAAUCAAGACAAGACUAACAAACCCUAUGAUUUCAUGCUCUGGUAUCAUCACAAGACUGUGGAACAGGAACGCAUUGACAAAUGAUCCAUCAUAAAGAAUUUUGGAGAUAUUCAGUGCAAAGAAUAUCAAGUACUAAUCAUUCUAAUGCUGCCUUUGUAGAGUCCUGCUUUGAUUAAAAUAAAAAUAAUAAAGUUGAUCUUUUUACAGGGGUUACAGAAAUUCAGUGUUUGUCUCCUGCUAAAUAUAAUUGGCUUGCAAGUGUUGAAUUCAAAGCGGAUGUUGGUAGUUGCUUAUGCUUGUGCUGAUCUGUUUAGCUGUACCAAAUGCUAAAUGAAAGUCUCUACUUUCUUGCCUGCUUCAAGAGCGCAAGGGUGGAUCUUUCUUGUGCUUGGAUUCAGUAUGUUUUUGGGGUUUCUCUAUGCUACUAUCAUAUCUAAGUUUCUUCCAGCAUCUGAAAAUCACAUUGUAGCAGCAAUUCAAAAGGACAGGUGAGAUUUUAUUGCCUCUACAUUAAUAUUACUCCAUCCAUUCCAAAAAAGGAGUCACAAUUACAACAUUUACAAACUUUAGGGACAUAUUCGUUCCAUAUCUACCCUUAAUUAUAUUGAGUGUUCAGUUUAUGAAUAGGCAUGAUAACAGAAUUGUG
RNAcentral lists this long non-coding RNA (1845 nucleotides) under Panax ginseng (ginseng). RNAcentral's name for it is "long non-coding RNA (PGIN_LNC016623)". Lineage: Eukaryota; Viridiplantae; Streptophyta; Magnoliopsida; Apiales; Araliaceae. The record is from RNAcentral.